RNAcentral lists this ribosomal RNA (468 nucleotides) under uncultured bacterium. RNAcentral's name for it is "partial 16S ribosomal RNA". It matches the Rfam family "Bacterial small subunit ribosomal RNA", at positions 28 to 507 of the family's 1533-position model. The record is from RNAcentral.
GACGAACGCUGGCGGCGUGCUUAACACAUGCAAGUCGAACGGAAAGGCCCUGCUUUUGUGGGGUGCUCGAGUGGCGAACGGGUGAGUAACACGUGAGUAACCUGCCCUUGACUUUGGGAUAACUUCAGGAAACUGGGGCUAAUACCGGAUAGGAGCUCCUGCUGCAUGGUGGGGGUUGGAAAGUUUCGGCGGUUGGGGAUGGACUCGCGGCUUAUCAGCUUGUUGGUGGGGUAGUGGCUUACCAAGGCUUUGACGGGUAGCCGGCCUGUGAGGGUGACCGGGAACAUUGGGACUGAGAUACGGACCAGAAUACAACGGGAGGCAGCAGUGGGGAAUAUUGCAGAAUGGGCGGAAGCCUGAUGCAGAAACGCCGCGUGCGGGAUGACGGCCUUCGGGUUGUAAACCGAUUUCGCCUGUGACGAAGCGGGAGUGACGGUAAUGGGUAAAGAAGCACCGGCUAACUACGUG